Molecule: small nucleolar RNA, 81 nt
Organism: Sceloporus undulatus (fence lizard)
Lineage: Eukaryota; Metazoa; Chordata; Lepidosauria; Squamata; Phrynosomatidae
Product: small nucleolar RNA SNORD72
Exons: 1
Source: RefSeq, a predicted model, not a curated record
AGCUUAUCUGUGAUGUUUCCAUUUAAAAAAAUGUCUGAACAUCUGAGUUCUAGUGAUUUCACAUUGUAACUGAGAUAAGCU